GGUAAUAUUGGGUGGCUGGAAAGUUGAACACUUGACAAUUUGGCUUUGGAGCAGGGAAAGGCAAAAGGAAAAUGGAAAAAAUUUCUGCUUCACCCUACUGUGUCUUCCAGGUGAUUGCAACUGGCACUCCCCAAAGUUUAUACUAUGGAAGGAUACUGGUUUACCAGUUUGUGCUGAUCUUGUGCUUUUUAUUAUUUCAUGGUUCUGAGGAAGUUAAAAGCCAUGAUACCAUUAAAGGUGAGAUGAAUUAUUACUUUAAAGUUCAAGCCAAAUUUAUGAUAGAGUUUUCCAAAAAUGUAUAAAGAAUCAUUCUUAUAGGUUCCUGUUUCAAUGAAUUGCUCUUUAUUUCCCAUGCAGAACUCUGUAAAUAUUUGACUUUCUUCAGAGUUUGGAAUGUGCAAGUGUGAUUUAUUAUUUCUAAUGACUGGAAAGAGGUUUGAUAUCUGCAAACAAAAGGUAUGAGUUGAAAGAGAAUGCAUAACAAUAUGUUUCUUUGUAAGUAGUGGGCAGAACUCAUCUAAGAAGAAAAAGAGUGAUUCUCAAGAUGAUUUGUCCUUCAGUAAUUCCCAAGAGGUUCCACAAAUAAAAUCAUACAGAUUUUGUCUUUCUGUCUGACUUAUUUGACUUAGAGUAACACCCUCUAUGCCUACCACCUUGUCACAAAUGAUGACUGUGGUGGUGCCCGCAAGUACACAGCUGGCUAUGGACCUGGAGUCAGAUGUAAAGCUAUGACAGGUAGUAUGGGGGAUAGAAAGGCUGCCUUACUUGCUGCUCGUAAAAAUCAGCUCACAUUUCCCUCCCUCUAAACAUGGAAACAUGUCUGUCAACACUCUUAAAACAUUUAAAACAUGGUGGGAUUAUGAAUUAAUAAUUAAAAUCCAUUCAUCUUUCAAUCAAUAUGUAUACUGAGCACAUCCUAUGGCAAGAAACACCCUCAUCAAUUGUCUCCACACAUUGCUGUGUGUGUUCUUUCCUCCUCUGUUAUUCUCUUCUUUCUUCUUUUAAGUAGAUGGUUUUUGUUUCUUCAAGGUUUUUUCUUUACUCCGCAGGAGGUAAAGCAACCUCUUCUCAAAAGAUUUUCUGAAAGAUUAUGCUCACAAAUAGUGGACAGUGGGGGAGAGAGAAAGACUUGCAGUGUCACCAAGAAAGAAUGGUCCCUGAGUAAAAACUCCCAGGAAAGAUUCUCAGGCGUCAAGCAUGGCACAGAGCAGACAGGGGCCAUGUGAGACAAUGUGAGAAGGGAAAAUGGGGUUUUUCCCAGUAACCAGUGUGUACUAAAACCAGGAUGGGCCUCUGAAAUGUCCUGGGACAGAAUAAUACACCCCACUCAGAUUUGUGUGUGAUGUUAAGGAAAGGAUGACAAGCCCUAGUAAUAAUUAUUAGAAUUUAAAUUCUCUACAGAUUGGUGAGAUUUGGAAUUCAUUUGAUUAAACAGGGUUGGAUUUAAGUUGAUUUAAAUAAAACAAACCAAUGCUCUAUUUCUUGCACAUUUGGAUUCAUAGAUUAAGGCCUUUUUACCUACUAUCAUGCUAGGGAACACAAAUUUAAGCAAGUGAUUACUGUUGUGAAUCAGCUGAUCAGUGAAGGAAGAAUGCAGGAUACUUUGGAAACACAGAACUGAGGGCCCAGUUAGGAGUGUGCUGGGGAAGGUGGGUGGGGAAGGAAAACAAUCUCUGCAUGCACAUUUUAGCUGUUAUCUCUAGGAUAAAUGAUACUUAGCUUGGUUAAGGCGAUGCUGAAGGUUGUAGGGUGUGGCAGACAAUGAACAAUAUACAGAAACAUCCUGAGGUGGAACAGAGCUUGGAUCCUCCAGUGUGGCCAAUGCCUGAGAGCAAAGGACAGAAUGGCCAAUGCAGAGGACAAAGGAGGCAUGUGCUUCAGGUUGUGUGGGGCCUGCCAGACCAUAUUAAACAAUGAUAAUAAGAGAGUGGAGAUCCACUGAAAGAUUUUAAGUAGGGGAGUGAAAGAAAAGAUUUGAAAUUUUCUAAGAUUAACUUUGACCACAGGUUGAAGAAUAAAUUAAAGUGACAAAGAGGAUCUCGAGGACCAAUAUAUGAUUACCGUUGGUUGGACUAGCUUGGUGCAGGAAGAAUGGUGAAAAGUUGAUAAGAGAUUUUUAGGAAAUUGAGUCAAUAGACCCUAACAAUCUAAUGUUGAGGUGAGGGGCAUGAAGUACAGGAGUAAAGAGUGAGAAAAUUUCCUACAUUUUUGGUCUGAGCAACAAAACAAAGGAUGUGAAAUUAUGGAAUUAGGAAGCACCAGUUAAAGAGCACGUUUUAGGGUUCAUUCUUAGCACAUGUUUGACCUGAUUUGGAGACACCUAAGCUUUUAUAUGCAUGUUGUAGCAACUACAUUAUUGAACCUAAUAAGAAUAAUUCAAUAUUAGAUUAAAGGUGAUUGUAAUGAGUGAUGAUAAAUUAAAAGUAGAUGAUUUCAUUUUGUUGGACACAUAAAAUGUUAAAUUUAAGAGGGAAUUAAACUGCAUGUGAGCAAUUACUGACAAAGUUAACAACCUUGACUAAGAAACAGACUGAAGAUAGAUGGUGGCAUGAAUAAAAUUUCCUCAGAUUUUCAAAUGACAACAAGAGGCUGGUGGAAGACACACUUCUGAACUGCCAAACACAACACCUUAAAACUAAAGGACAUCAACUCAUAAGAUAUGAAGUUCUCCCUUGAUUUCAGAUGUCUUGGGCUUGUAAAUCAUUAACAGUGGACAUUUCAUUACAUAUCAUGAAGACAGCUCAGUCUGCACAUCUCCACAAGUCUGACCGCUUCAAGUGUGUCACCUCCAGGAAUGAUGAACUGAAUGAAUGUGUGGUUUUUGAUCAAAAAGGUUUUUGCAUCUUUGAAUUGUAAUGAAAGUGGUGGUUGUUAAGUUUGUUCCCUCUGUGCCCUCUGCCUUUUAAGGCUAGCAUUACAAAGCCAGCCAUUUGACUUCUGGCGUAACUUUAUCAUAAAGCUUGCCACAGAUGGAAGAAUCCAGAUCGUCUUUCCUUUCUGUUGUAUGGGAGAUCACGGUGGAGACUGCAUGUUCACAGAACCAUAGCUUUUUCAUGAAGGAAAGGGAAAUAGAAUAGAUUUUUCAGGAAGUAAAACAGUGGAUAACUAAUAAGAGAUUAUUGGCAGGCUAUCAGGAUCUCUUUGUCAAGUGGUCAUGGAAAGACACUGUGAGAAGCCAGGCAUGGGUGCCUUAAGAUUCUGUGAGGUCUGUUGUCUUGAAACACCUUGUAUGUUUCUUAAUGACACUUAUUGUGCUCUACCUUAUAGUAUAGUUAAAGGACAAGUUUUCUCCCUUCUAGAUGAUAAGUAUAAACUGCAAAUAGCA
Molecule: long non-coding RNA, 3325 nt
Organism: Manis pentadactyla (Chinese pangolin)
Lineage: Eukaryota; Metazoa; Chordata; Mammalia; Pholidota; Manidae
Exons: 3
Source: RefSeq, a predicted model, not a curated record